CCUACGGGUGGCAGCAGUGAGGAAUAUUGGUCAAUGGGCGCGAGCCUGAACCAGCCAAGUAGCGUGAAGGAUGACUGCCCUACGGGUUGUAAACUUCUUUUAUAAAGGAAUAAAGUGAGGCACGUGUUCCUUUUUGUAUGUACUUUAUGAAUAAGGAUCGGCUAACUCCGUUCCAGCAGCCGCGGUAAUACGGAGGAUCCGAGCGUUAUCCGGAUUUAUUGGGUUUAAGGGGAGCGUAGAUGGGUGGUUAAGUCAGUUGUGAAAGUUUGUGGCUCAACCGUAAAAUUGCAAUUGAUACUGGCAGCCUUGAGUACAGUUGAGGUAGGCGGAAUUCGUGGUGUAGCGGUGAAAUGCGUAGAUAUAUCGAAGAACUACGAUUGCGAAGGCAGCUUACUAAACUGCAACUGACAUUGAUGCUCGAAAGUGUGGGUAUCAAACAGGAUUAGAUACCCCUGUAGUC
This 460-nucleotide ribosomal RNA is filed under the name uncultured bacterium. RNAcentral describes it as "partial 16S ribosomal RNA". It matches the Rfam family "Bacterial small subunit ribosomal RNA", at positions 338 to 795 of the family's 1533-position model. The record is from RNAcentral.